Molecule: long non-coding RNA, 1355 nt
Filed under: Gouania willdenowi (blunt-snouted clingfish)
Lineage: Eukaryota; Metazoa; Chordata; Actinopteri; Blenniiformes; Gobiesocidae
Description: lncRNA (ENSGWIG00000004640.1)
Source: RNAcentral
UGUUGUGGUAGUUGUUUCAGGUGUAGUAGUUGGCUCACUGGUAGUGGUUGUAGUUCUAACAGUUGUAGUCAAUGUUUUUGGUUCAUCAGUAGUAGUAGUUGGUUCAGGUGUAGUUGUUGAAUAAGUAGUGGUAGUUUGUUCAGGUGUUGUGGUAGUUAUUUCAGGGGUAGUAGUUGGCUCACUGGUAGUAGUAGUAGUUGGUUCAGGUGAAGUGGUUGUUGGCACCAUGGUAGUGGAUGUAGUUUGUUUGGGUGUUGUAGUUUGUGCAGUAGUAGUUGAUGUUAAUUCAGUAGUGGUAGUUAAUUCAGGGGUAGUAGUUGGCUCAUUGGUAGUGGUCGUAGUUCUAACAGUUGUAGUCAAUGUUGUUGGUUCAUUAGUAGUAGGAGUUGGUUCAGGGGUAGUUGUUGUAUAAGUAGUGGUAGUUUGUUCAGGUGUUGUGGUAGUUAUUUCGGGGGUAGUAGUUGGAUCACUGGUAGUGGUAGUAGUUGGUUCAGGUGAAGUGGCUGUUGGCACCAUGGUAGUGGAUGUAGUUUGUUCGGGUGUUGUAGUUUGUGCAGUAGUAGUUGAUGUUAAUUCAGUAGUGGUAGUUAAUUCAGGUGUAGUGGUUGGCUCACUGGUAGUGGUUGUAGUUCUAACAGUUGUAGUCAAUGUUUUUGGUUCAUCAGUAUUAGUAGUUGGUUCAGGUGUAGUUGUUGAAUAAGUAGUGGUAGUUUGUUCAGGUGUUGUGGUAGUUAUUUCAGGUGUAGUAGUUGGCUCACUGGUAGUGGUUGUAGUUCUAACAGUUGUAGUCAAUGUUGUUGGUUCAUUAGUAGUAGGAGUUGGUUCAGGUGUAGUUGUUGUAGUUUGUUCGGGUGUUGUAGUUUGUGCAGUAGUAGUAGUUGGUUCAGGUGUAGUUGUUGUAUAAGUAGUGGUAGUUUGAUCAGGUGUUGUGGUAGUUUUUUCAGGGGUAGUAGUUGGCUCACUGGUAGUGGUUGUAGUUAUAACAGUUGUAGUCAAUGUUGUUGGUUCAUCAGUAGUAGUAGUUGGUUCAGGUGUAGUUGUUGUAUAAGUAGUGGUAGUUUUUUCAGGUGUUGUGGUAGUUAUUUCAGGGGUAGUAGUUGGCUCACUGGUAGUGGUCAUAGUUAUAGCAGUUGUAGUCAAUGUUGUUGGCUCAUUAGUAGUAGUAGUUGGUUCAGGUGUAGUUGUUGUAUAAGUAGUGGUAGUUUGUUCAGGUGUUGUGGUAGUUAAUUUAGGGGUAGUAGUUAUAACAGUUGUAGUCAAUGUUGUUGGCUCAUUAGUAGUAGUAGUUGAUUCAGGUGUAGUUAAGGAUUCUGGCGUUGUUGUUGUUGAAGUUGCUGACGAUGUUGUAGUCGAGU